RNAcentral lists this ribosomal RNA (448 nucleotides) under uncultured organism. Its description in RNAcentral is "partial 16S ribosomal RNA". It matches the Rfam family "Bacterial small subunit ribosomal RNA", at positions 335 to 799 of the family's 1533-position model. The record is from RNAcentral.
ACUCCUGCGGGAGGCAGCAGUGGGGAAUAUUGGACAAUGGGCGAAAGCCUGAUCCAGCAAUGCCGCGUGAGUGAUGAAGGCCUUAGGGUUGUAAAGCUCUUUUACCCGGGAUGAUAAUGACAGUACCGGGAGAAUAAGCCCCGGCUAACUCCGUGCCAGCAGCCGCGGUAAUACGGAGGGGGCUAGCGUUGUUCGGAAUUACUGGGCGUAAAGCGCGCGUAGGCGGCUUUGUAAGUUAGAGGUGAAAGCCCGGAGCUCAACUUCGGAAUUGCCUUUAAGACUGCAUCGCUAGAAUCGUGGAGAGGUGAGUGGAAUUCCGAGUGUAGAGGUGAAAUUCGUAGAUAUUCGGAAGAACACCAGUGGCGAAGGCGACUCACUGGACACGUAUUGACGCUGAGGUGCGAAAGCGUGGGGAGCAAACAGGAUUAGAAACCCCAGUAGUCCCAUG